RNAcentral lists this unclassified non-coding RNA (391 nucleotides) under soil metagenome. RNAcentral's name for it is "partial contains 5.8S ribosomal RNA, internal transcribed spacer 2, and large subunit ribosomal RNA". The stretch from base 1 to 122 matches the Rfam family "5.8S ribosomal RNA", at positions 35 to 154 of the family's 154-position model. The record is from RNAcentral.
GAUGAAGAACGUAGCGAAAUGCGAUACUUGGUGUGAAUUGCAGAAUCCCGUGAACCAUCGAGUCUUUGAACGCAAGUUGCGCCCGAAGCCACUAGGCCGAGGGCACGCCUGCCUGGGCGUCACACGCCGUUGCCCCCCCAUCUACUCCUUCGGGAUUGCGGGGGGGCGGAUGAUGGCCUCCCGUGCGCCUAGCCGCGCGGUUGGCAUAAAUACCAAGUCCUCGGCGACGCACGCCUCGACAAUCGGUGGUUGCGAAACCUCGGUUGCCCGUCGUGUGCGUUCGUCGCGCAUCGAGGGCUCGAAAAAAUGCUCGGCUCCGGCUGGGCUUUCAACGCGACCCCAGGUCAGGCGGGGUUACCCGCUGAAUUUAAGCAUAUCAAUAAGCGGAGGA